RNAcentral lists this long non-coding RNA (604 nucleotides) under Oryza brachyantha (malo sina). RNAcentral describes it as "long non-coding RNA (OBRA_LNC002648)". Lineage: Eukaryota; Viridiplantae; Streptophyta; Magnoliopsida; Poales; Poaceae. The record is from RNAcentral.
CUUGACAUUUUGUUUGAGCCAUUUGCUUGCUGUGGGUUUAGGAGUCAUAAGGAAAUUAGUGUGUAUUCAGUGGUGAUCAGCAUUCGGCCUCAUCUUUUUUAUGGGCAUUUGCCUGCAUCUAUCUUCAACCAAUUUGGCAUUGGUUCUAAUCCGGUAGCAUCAUGCGGUGUGACUGCAAAGGGAGGUAUAUGGAAUCAAUGAAAUACAUAGAUGAUGAUGUCUCUUUCUGAUAACUGAAAGAAGAGUAUAGCGUACGUGCACUGCUUAGCAGGAAAUGUUGAGGCCGAGUAUUGCAAAGCACAAAGCACUAAAAAGAUUCAUCUGCCAGAUUGCCAUACCGACCAAGGGACCAAGCACCGCUAUGCAGAAUUAGAAUACUGAGAAGCAAGAGUGGUUACAUUUUGUGCAUCGCAUUUUUUGUGGGUGUUCCUAUCAUAUUUGAUUUAGUCUUGCAAUGGUCUGAAUCCAAAUUUUGCAGUGUGGUGCAAGAGCAGAGAGUUGAUUAGCUGUUAGUGAAUCACAUUGUGUGUGUGUGAAGUACCACAGACCAGCAUAUCGGUAGGCAUCAUAUCCAUUAUCCAUGCACACAUUUCAUUGGCACCCA